Molecule: ribosomal RNA, 468 nt
Filed under: uncultured bacterium
Lineage: Bacteria
Description: partial 16S ribosomal RNA
Rfam family: Bacterial small subunit ribosomal RNA
Source: RNAcentral
GACGAACGCUGGCGGCGUGCUUAACACAUGCAAGUCGAACGGAAAGGCCCUGCUUUUGUGGGGUGCUCGAGUGGCGAACGGGGGAGUAACACGUGUGUAUCCUGUCCUUGUCUGUGGGGUAACUUCAGGGAACUGGGGCGAAUAUCGGGUAGGAUCUCCUGCUGCAUGGUGGGGGAUGGAAAGUUUCGGCGGUUGGGUAUGGACUCGAGGCUUAUGAGCUUGUUUGUGGGGUAGUGGCUUACCAGGGCUUUGACGGGUAGCCGGCCUGAGAGCGUGACCGGCCACCUUGGGACUGAGAUACGGCCCAGACUCCUACGGGAGGCAGCAGUCGGGAAUAUUGCACAAUGGGCGGAAGCCUGAUGCAGCGACGCCGCGUGCGGGAUGACGGCCUUCGGGUUGUAAACCGCUUUCGCCUGUGACGAAGCGUGAGUGACGGUAAUGGGUAAAGAAGCACCGGCUAACUACGUG